This 128-nucleotide small RNA is filed under the name chicken gut metagenome. RNAcentral's name for it is "Ribosomal protein L10 leader". It matches the Rfam family "Ribosomal protein L10 leader". From Rfam's summary of the family: This family is a putative r-protein leader autoregulatory structure found in B. subtilis and other low-GC Gram-positive bacteria. It is located in the 5' untranslated regions of mRNAs encoding ribosomal proteins L10 and L12 (rplJ-rplL). The record is from RNAcentral.
AACAAGAUAUGCCGCAGACAGCAGGUGCGCUUGCGCUCAAUAUCCUGCCGAGGUGUUAAGGAAUAAAGAUCAUAAAGCUGUUCUUACGUUGUCCUUAUGCCGCGCGGCAUAAGGGCUUUUUAAUUCUU